UAGCUAGUUGGUGAGGUAAAGGCUUACCAAGGCGACGAUCUGUAGCGGGUCUGAGAGGAUGAUCCGCCACACUGGAACUGAGACACGGUCCAGACUCCUACGGGAGGCAGCAGUGGGGAAUUUUGGACAAUGGGGCAACCCUGAUCCAGCCAUGCCGCGUGAGUGAAGAAGGCCUUCGGGUUGUAAAGCUCUUUCGGCCGGGAAGAAAUCGCAUAGGCCAAUACCCUGUGUGGAUGACGGUACCGGAAUAAGAAGCACCGGCUAACUACGUGCCAGCAGCCGCGGUAAUACGUAGGGUGCGAGCGUUAAUCGGAAUUACUGGGCGUAAAGCGUGCGCAGGCGGUUUUGUAAGACAGGCGUGAAAUCCCCGGGCUUAACCUGGGAACUGCGUUUGUGACUGCAAGGCUAGAGUACGGCAGAGGGGGGUGGAAUUCCACGUGUAGCAGUGAAAUGCGUAGAGAUGUGGAGGAACACCAAUGGCGAAGGCAGCCCCCUGGGUCGAUACUGACGCUCAUGCACGAAAGCGUGGGUAGCAAACAGGAUUAGAUACCCUGGUAGUCCACGCCCUAAACUAUGUCAACUAGGUGUUGGGUGGGUAAAACCAUUUAGUACCGUAGCUAACGCGUGAAGUUGACCGCCUGGGGAGUACGGCCGCAAGGUUAAAACUCAAAGGAAUUGACGGGGACCCGCACAAGCGGUGGAUGAUGUGGAUUAAUUCGAUGCAACGCGAAAAACCUUACCUACCCUUGACAUGCCAGGAACGUGCCAGAGAUGGCUUGGUGCCCGAAAGGGAGCCUGGACACAGGUGCUGCAUGGCUGUCGUCAGCUCGUGUCGUGAGAUGUUGGGUUAAGUCCCGCAACGAGCGCAACCCUUGUCGUUAAUUGCCAUCAUUUGGUUGGGCACUUUAACGAGACUGCCGGUGACAAACCGGAGGAAGGUGGGGAUGACGUCAAGUCCUCAUGGCCCUUAUGGGUAGGGCUUCACACGUCAUACAAUGGUCGGUACAAAGGGUUGCCAAGCCGCGAGGCGGAGCCAAUCCCAAAAAGCCGAUCGUAGUCCGGAUUGCAGGCUGCAACUCGCCUGCGUGAAGUCGGAAUCGCUAGUAAUCGUGGAUCAGCAUGUCACGGUGAAUACGUUCCCGGGUCUUGUACACACCGCCCGUCACACCAUGGGAGCGGGUUCCGCCAGAAGUAGGUAGCCUAACCGCAAGGGGGGCGCUUACCACGGCGGGGUUCGUGACUGGGGUGAAGUCGGAACAAGGUAGCCGUAGGGGAACCUGCGGCUG
RNAcentral lists this ribosomal RNA (1286 nucleotides) under metagenome. Its description in RNAcentral is "bacterial SSU rRNA". It matches the Rfam family "Bacterial small subunit ribosomal RNA", at positions 242 to 1520 of the family's 1533-position model. The record is from RNAcentral.